GGAGAUGUGGCUCAGUGGUAGAGCACUUGCUUAGCAUGUGCAAGGGCCUGGGUUCAAUUCCCAGCAUAUUGG
Molecule: non-coding RNA, 72 nt
Organism: Ictidomys tridecemlineatus (thirteen-lined ground squirrel)
Lineage: Eukaryota; Metazoa; Chordata; Mammalia; Rodentia; Sciuridae
Source: Rfam